Molecule: ribosomal RNA, 438 nt
Filed under: Acinetobacter kyonggiensis
Lineage: Bacteria; Pseudomonadati; Pseudomonadota; Gammaproteobacteria; Moraxellales; Moraxellaceae
Description: bacterial SSU rRNA
Rfam family: Bacterial small subunit ribosomal RNA
Source: RNAcentral
CCUACGGGUGGCUGCAGUGGGGAAUAUUGGACAAUGGGGGGAACCCUGAUCCAGCCAUGCCGCGUGUGUGAAGAAGGCCUUUUGGUUGUAAAGCACUUUAAGCGAGGAGGAGGCUACUUAGAUUAAUACUCUAAGAUAGUGGACGUUACUCGCAGAAUAAGCACCGGCUAACUCUGUGCCAGCAGCCGCGGUAAUACAGAGGGUGCAAGCGUUAAUCGGAUUUACUGGGCGUAAAGGGUACGUAGGUGGUCUUUUAAGUCGGAUGUGAAAUCCCUGAGCUUAACUUAGGAAUUGCAUUCGAUACUGAAAGACUAGAGUAUGGGAGAGGAUGGUAGAAUUCCAGGUGUAGCGGUGAAAUGCGUAGAGAUCUGGAGGAAUACCGAUGGCGAAGGCAGCCAUCUGGCCUAAUACUGACACUGAGGUACGAAAGCAUGGGGA